UCUACGGGAGGCAGCAGUGAGGAAUAUUGGUCAAUGGACGAGAGUCUGAACCAGCCAAGUAGCGUGAAGGAUGACUGCCCUAUGGGUUGUAAACUUCUUUUAUAUGGGAAUAAAAUGUUCCACGUGUGGGAUUUUGUAUGUACCAUAUGAAUAAGGAUCGGCUAACUCCGUGCCAGCAGCCGCGGUAAUACGGAGGAUCCGAGCGUUAUCCGGAUUUAUUGGGUUUAAAGGGAGCGUAGGUGGAUUGUUAAGUCAGUUGUGAAAGUUUGCGGCUCAACCGUAAAAUUGCAGUUGAAACUGGCAGUCUUAAGAACAGUAGAGGUGGGCGGAAUGCGUGGUGUAGCGGUGAAAUGCUUAGAUAUCACGAAGAACUCCGAUUGCGAAGGCAGCUCACUGGACUGCAACUGACACUGAGGCUCGAAAGUGUGGGUAUCAAACAGGAGUAGAUACCCCUGUAGUC
RNAcentral lists this ribosomal RNA (460 nucleotides) under uncultured bacterium. RNAcentral's name for it is "partial 16S ribosomal RNA". It matches the Rfam family "Bacterial small subunit ribosomal RNA", at positions 338 to 795 of the family's 1533-position model. The record is from RNAcentral.